Long non-coding RNA from Cyprinus carpio carpio, 3576 nucleotides. Lineage: Eukaryota; Metazoa; Chordata; Actinopteri; Cypriniformes; Cyprinidae. The record is from Ensembl.
AAAUAUUUUUGUAUUCUUAAUUGUUCAAAUAGCAAAUAUAACAUUUUAAUUUUUUUGCAUAAUUUAUUAUAUUGUUUUUAUCUAUAAUAUAAUAUAAUAUAAUAUAAUAUAAUAUAAUAUAAUAUAAUAUAAUAUAAUAUAAUAUAAUGCCCCGAAGUCUGAUUUAAAACUCAAAUGUACUCAUCUAUUUCUGCACAGACAAUUUUAUGUAGUACGAGCUGGAUGGAAAUGGAAUUGCCUCUAUCCUGAACUGAAAAAGCUGGACAAACCUCCGCAAGAGUUGAGAGGAGGAUUAUGGGUAGGCGCUCAGCCAAACACUUAGAAUUUUGCCUGAUGACAUUGAGAUUUAAUGUGUUUAAUAAGCUCGCGAGGACUGUAUCUGGUACCCAGGGGAGCUGUGGAAAGCAGAUAUGUGUGUGAGCGACACAAGAUAGAGUUCAGAUGUUUCUUCUCGUUUGUCUUGGAGCUGAGCAUAAUCUGUCUCUCGGGUUUUAUUCGGUCUCAGCUCAUCUCUGGAUCACAGAACUGUGAGCUCCUCCCCUCUCGAAUGCUGUCAGAUCACCACAGCAUGAAGUUAGUCUCUUACACAACCCUCAUCCCUACUUAACUUUACCAUCUCAUCACCGUGCUAUCAAUCAACACACCUGUUUUUCUCUCUGACCUCCUAGAGGAACAUUUUAUUGCUCAGAGAUUGCUCUUUUAUAGCUCUGGAGACGUAAGUUCUUAGUUCUGUUUUAGUCUAGUAUCAACUUUGUCUCAGAUGUUUCUCCACAAUCGCCUUCUUGACAUAAAGAGGUAUAAAUCAGUGUGAAGAGUACCUAAGAUCUUUGGGAUGAAUCUGAUUUUUGAAAUAUGACUUAUGGUUGCAGAUUUGAUUUUCUUGGUCUUUUCUCAUGAGAUUUAGUCCAAAGUCUCUAUUUGAUCCCAUUUAAUCUCAUUGCUAUCUGAGAGAAACAACUGACAUACAAGAAACAUUAUUUAUUUAUUUAUUUAAGUACAGUUUAAGAAGUGUGAGCUUAUUCUGUGUUUUCUUCUUUCUCAAUCUCUUUGAAUGUUACUGCUAGAUUUCAUGUGUUUUUCUUAAGUUUUCCUAUGGGAGAAAAUAACAUCCAGAGGCAAAUUUGAUUGAUUGCUCAUGUUUCAUUAAUUUAAAGAUCAAUAUCAUCACAGAUGUUUCUCCUAAAGUCAUAGUCAGAGACCAAAGAAGAACUGGAUAAGAAUUAUUAGAGUUCAUAGUGAGACUUUUUUAUUGCAGACAUUCUUGGGUAUAGAAUCUGAGUAUAGAAACGUGUCAUUGGGAUGACAGAAGAAAAAUCAGUGAAGCAGGAAAAAGAGCUCAAAAAAGAAGCAGGAAACUUCUCAGAUUGAUCUCAUUGCUGUCAUGAAGAAACAACUAAAGACUAAAAGAGCUGGUGAUUUUUCGCGGGUGGGAUCCACUGCGGUGGAACUCUCCCUCGAACCUCAAUGUGCAGUCAUUCUCUCCUAAGACUCUUUCUACCUCACAGGCCUUUAGCUCCUCGCAAGAGCCGCAGGAACUCCGAGAGCCAUAAACCUCGACAUUGAUUAGAUGAGUCUGUGCGGCGGAGGGGAGAUUGUUUCCUGAUGGGCGGCAGAAUCAACCAGGAGGGGCCGGCAAACCGGGGACACAGCAGCAUCCUGAGCUGCCCUUUGAUGUGCCUGAUGAAUGCGGAUCAACAGGGAGUCUGAGAGAGAGAGAGACAGGCAGGGAGAGCUCUACCUGCUGGGGAUCUCUAAAGGAUUGAUUCCCUGUCGCUGCUGCCUGGAUGGUCGGAAAGAAAAAGGAAAAGCAAUAGAGAAAAAGUGAGCUUAAAAGAACCAACAAAGGCCGGCCACUUAGCAGAGUUCACUGCUGUGCUCCGGCUUCUAGAAAAUUCACUCUUUCUGUUGGUGUCACCAGGUGAACAGAGAGCAUGCUGGGAGCCGCAAACAUGUAAAGGAGUCUUUCAAUGCCACACAAUUACAAAGAGAGGAUUUGUAUUGAGUGAAUGGUGGUGGUCUGUAUUUGUUUUUCUGAAAGAUAUCACUUAUCUAUCUGUGUGUAGAGGUGAAUGCUGAGUGGAGGUCGGGAUACUUGAGCGGAGGUCACACUCGCUGGACUCUUGGGUUCAUCUUGAAGAAGUGUCAUGAGGGUAAAACAAAAACCUUCCUCCAUUGUCUCAGCAUACAUAAAACAGUUUAAGUACAGAACUGCUGUCCCCUGUGAAUAAUCCUCAGAGAAAUGUAUUUUUAAUAUGGUAGCCCAUUACUGACAUUUAUUUAUAUGCUGGUAAUUUUAAUAACCUCACUUUCAGUGGCUCUCUUUCUCCAUCUGACUCUCCUUGCACUUCUGUCUCCAUCUGUUGGUCAAUUUUUGCAUCCCUUCAACUGAAAUGGAAAUUCACCAUCUGAACUGAACUCAUUCACACUGCAAAGUUCUUCCUUUUUUCUAAAGAAUGCUUUUCAGCUGAACUGUUGUUCUAUCUGCUAUACAGCUGAAUCCCAAUGGUUACAUAAUUGAGGAAUUCUGCAUGGAAUCAGCAUCAGACUCAAGCUGAAUAACUACACUAUAUAACUCAAGCUGAAUAUCUACACUAUUCUGUAGUAGUUUACUAUUAGCUAAUCAGUAACUUUUUUCAUAUCUCCCAGAGAAAUAACUACUACAGUAUUCUACAGUGUUACCUAACCCAUCAGUUUCUUGCAUUUCUUGUGCCAUAACUGCUGUUGCAUUUAAUAUUCAAGCUUCCUGCAAAGCAGUCUUCAGUUCCAAAUAUCCUGCAGGUGAAAACAUGUAGUUUAUAUACUGCAGCAACAUGUAGUGCUGAGAAACCUUUGAUGGAGCAAAACAUGAAAAAUCCCCUCAGAGGGAGAAACCGGGAUCAAGGCUGGUGUUCUUACAUGCAGGUCACAGUACUCCAUAAAGAGAAAGGAAUCUGCCGUUCUCACUAACACAGAGAGAGGUAGUGAAAGAUGAGAGAGAGAGAGAGAGAGAGAGAGAGAGAGAGAGAGAGAGAGAGAGAUUUUUUUUGAUUUUUGAAAAAAACUUUAUUUACAAUUUUAACAGUAUCUUUUCACAAUAAGCUAACCAUAUAAUCCAUUCAACACAUUACACAGAGGAUACUAAAACCUACUGAAAUUAUAAAGAAAAAAACAAAUCACCUUCACAAACUGCACACAAAGCACCAUGACUGCACCAUAUCAAUUCAAAGGUUGAAAGAUCUCUCAUAGUUUUAUAAAACCGAAAAUCAAUCAAAACUCUAGAUUUUAUCAAAGUUAAAAAACAUACAUUCACAUCAUCGCUACACUUUUGUUCCACUCUAUUUUUCCUGCUGAUAUAAAUAGCCAUUUUUGCUUGCCCUAAAAUGAAAUUCAACAGUUGACAGGUAAAACGUUUUUUCUGAAAGUACUUAAAACCCAAAAUGAAAGUCUCAAUACAAAAGGUUUCAUCAAACCUACAAAACAAUUCUUUUAAUCUCACAAAAAAAGGUUCUAAUCUAAAACAAUGCAUAAAAGCAUGAAAAACAGUCUCCCUUUGAAGACAGAAAGGGCAAGCAGAAUUAACUUCUGGAUUCAGCAUCG